AAUAUUGGAUAAUGGGGGCAACCCUGAUCCAGCCAUGCCGCGUGUGUGAAGAAGGUCUUCGGAUUGUAAAGCACUCUAAGUUGGGAGGAAGGGCUUUAGGUUAAUACCCUGAAGUUUUGACGUUACCAACAGAAUAAGCACCGGCCAACUCUGUGCAAGCAGCCGCGGUAAUACAGAGGGUGCAAGCGUUAAUCGGAAUUACUGGGCGUAAAGGGCGCGUAGGUGGUUCAGUAAGAUGGCGGUGAAAUCCCCGGGCUUAACCUGGGAACUUCUUUCAUCACUGCUGAGCAAGAGUACGGUAGAGGGUAGUGGAAUUUCCUGUGUAGCGGUGAAAUGCGUAGAUAUAGGAAGGAACACAAGUGGCGAAGGCGACUACCUGGACUGAUACUGACACUGAGGUGCGAAAGCGUGGGGAGCAAACA
RNAcentral lists this ribosomal RNA (422 nucleotides) under uncultured bacterium. Its description in RNAcentral is "partial 16S ribosomal RNA". It matches the Rfam family "Bacterial small subunit ribosomal RNA", at positions 360 to 774 of the family's 1533-position model. The record is from RNAcentral.